UGUGUGUGUAGCGAGAUUUGAGAGAGAGAGAGAGAAAGAAAGAGGGAACUCCCUCUAGAGUUUAAUUCACAACUUUAGCAAGACUGGGGAAAUAUUGGUAUCUAAUUUCAGACAUGAACUCAAAUUCUUAGCCAUCUAGACUUACUAAUCACAAGGAGUGAAAGAAGAAGGAUCAAGCAACAUAAGGCAACAAAGAACCCAUGAUCGAGGUAAAUCAUCCACCUAAGAUCAACCCAAGGUUAUGGGUGAACACACACGAGCCAUCUUUUGAUGUAUAGUUUUCAAACGGGUCAACUUUUGUAGCUUUUGAAUAAGUUUGGUUGUAAACAUUUAGAUUGCACUU
This 343-nucleotide long non-coding RNA is filed under the name Helianthus annuus (common sunflower). Its description in RNAcentral is "hypothetical non coding rna". Lineage: Eukaryota; Viridiplantae; Streptophyta; Magnoliopsida; Asterales; Asteraceae. The record is from RNAcentral.